This 1071-nucleotide long non-coding RNA is filed under the name Marmota monax (woodchuck). The record is from RNAcentral. Lineage: Eukaryota; Metazoa; Chordata; Mammalia; Rodentia; Sciuridae.
AGAACAAUCUAUUGGGAUAUAUGUGUAAAUAAUAAAAUUCCUAUUGACAUUCUUCUUAUGCCUUUAAGAGCUUGUUCUCUGGUGUAUAUGAUACUACUGAGGCUCAGAGAGAUUAAGUAACUCAUCCAAGGUCCACAGCUAGUAAGGGUGCCUGACUCCAAAGCCCAGCCAUGCUCUUCACAUGCAGAGUCCUGUGCAGACAGGUUAGGGGUUGGAUGGGGACAGAGGCAGGCCUAAGGAGGGGCCUUGGAGGAGUAGAUACCUGGCGGCUCUGGAAGCCUCUUCUGUAGCCCAUUGUGAGCAGAGGUCGAGAAGCCCGCCCCAGCCUGCUCCCUUGCACCUCGGGGCCUGUCAUGAGGAGCCAAACAGACAGAUUAGAUCAGUCCUGGCCUGUGGCCAGCCACCCAAAGCCUCUUAGCUGGUCUUGGGCAAUUCAUCCUUACCUCUGUGAGCAGAAAGGGUAGGACAGGGGGCUGAGAGGUCAGAGUGGGGUGACAGAGUGGGAGAGGACAAGGUGUCACCCAGACUCUGGUGACAGGUGGCAGCUGGCAGGGGUAAACUGGCUUCUCUGCCAUCUACACAACUCAGCUUCCAACCCCUGUGGCCUAGGGAACCCAGGUGUCUCACAUUCCCGUGCUUCUUUGCGCUGUGUUCACAAUUCAUGCCUCUGAUUCAUACUACUAAAAGAACUUUAUUUUUUAAAUUUUAUUUUUCAGAAAUAAAAUUGUAGCCAGGUACUGAGGCGCAUGUGUGACAUCCCAGAGACUAGAGAGAUUGAGUUAGGAGGAUCACAAGUUCAAGGCCAGUGUGGGCAACUUGGCCAGACCCUGUCUUAAACAAACUAAAAAAGGGCUUGGGCGGAGGUAGCUCAGUGGCAGAAGGCCCCUGGGUUUAAGAUUGUAGGCAGGGGGUGUAGCUUCAUGGUAGAGAGCUUGUCCGGCAUGCACAAGGCCCUAUUAUUGUGUUUCUAUCCCAAACAUAAUAAUAAUAAUAAUAAUAACAACAACAACAAAAAUUGUAAUUAAAAUAUGCCUACAGAAAAAUGCAUCCCAGGGGCUGGGGAUAUGGCUC